UACGGAAGGUCCAAGCGUUAAUCGGAAUUACUGGGCGUAAAGCGCGCGUAGGUGGUUUAUUAAGUUGGGUGUGAAAGCCCCGGGCUCAACCUGGGAACUGCAUCCAAAACUGAUUCACUAGAGUACGAAAGAGGGAGGUAGAAUUCACAGUGUAGCGGUGGAAUGCGUAGAUAUUGUGAAGAAUACCAAUGGCGAAGGCAGCCUCCUGGUUCUGUACUGACACUGAGGUGCGAAAGCGUGGGUAGCGAACAGGAUUAGAUACCCUGGUAGUCCACGCCGUAAACGAUGACAACCAGCUGUUGGGAAGCAAUGCUUUCAGUGGCGCAGCUAACGUCUUAAGUUGUCCGCCUGGGGAGUACGGCCGCAAGGUUAAAACUCAAAUGAAUUGACGGGGACCCGCACAAGCGGUGGAGCAUGUGGUUUAAUUCGAUGCAACGCGAAAAACCUUACCUACUCUUGACACCCUUGGAAUCUCUUGUAAUGAGAGAGUGCCUUUUGGAACCAAGUGACAGGUGCUGCAUGGCUGUCGUCAGCUCGUGUCGUGAGAUGUUCCGUUAAGUCGGAUAACGAGCGCAACCCUUACCCUUAUUUGCCAGCGGUUCGGCCGGGAACUAUAAGGGGACUGCCGGUGAUAAACCGGAGGAAGGUGAGGACGACGUCAAGUCAUCAUGGCCCUUACGAGUAGGGCUACACACGUGCUACAAUGGGAAGUACAGAGGGACGCCAAAGCGUGAGCUGGAGCUAAUCUCAUAAAACUUUUCGUAGUCCGGAUUGCAGUCUGCAACUCGACUGCAUGAAGUCGGAAUCGCUAGUAAUCGCGGAUCAGCACGCCGCGGUGAAUACGUUCUCGGGUCU
RNAcentral lists this ribosomal RNA (855 nucleotides) under uncultured bacterium. RNAcentral describes it as "SSU rRNA". It matches the Rfam family "Bacterial small subunit ribosomal RNA", at positions 524 to 1381 of the family's 1533-position model. The record is from RNAcentral.